AUGUUGCCAGCCAUGGAGGAGCCCCCUAUUGGGGGCAACAGCAGCACUGAGGAGACAGGAGGGCCAAAAGAGAGCUUGGUGGUGAUUGAGGUUAAGAAGCAGCUGUACCUCGCCGGGCCUCUCAUUGCCGGAUGCCUGUUGCAGCAAGUCGUGCAGAUGAUAUCGAUCAUGUUUGUCGGCCAUCUCGAGUGGUGGUCGUCUGAGCUGCUGGUACUUCUCUCCGGACUUCUCCCAAAUCCUAAGCUGGAGGCAUCGGUGUUGUCCAUUUGCUUGAACACAGUUUCAUUAGCAAUCAUGAUCCCCUUCGGUCUUGGGGCAGCCAUAAGCACCCGUGUUUCAAAUGAGCUUGGUGCUGGGCGACCUGAAGCUGCCCGUCUGGCUACUCGUGUGAUCAUGGUUCUGGGCCUCGCGAUGGGUGUGUCUGUAGGACUUCUUAUGGUCUCGGUGCGCAAUAUAUGGGGGUACGCAUACAGCAACGAGAAUGAGGUGGUGGAAUACAUUGCGAGAAUGAUGCCGCUUCUUUCCGUGUCGAUCAUUUUCGACAAUCUGCAAUGUGUUCUUUCAGGUAUUGUCAGGGGCUGUGGCUUGCAAAGGAUUGGAGCUUGUGUCAAUCUCAGUGCGUACUACCUUGUCGGCAUUCCAGCGGCGCUAUGCUUUGCCUUUGUCUUCCAUCUCGGCGGAAUGGGGCUGUGGUUGGGAAUAAUCUGCGGGGUAGUUGUGCAGAUGCUGUUGCUGCUGGCCAUUACCAUGCGCACCAACUGGGACAAAGAGGCUCUCAAGGCAAAGGACAGAGUUUUGAGUUCGUCCCUGCCUCUAGACAUGACGACAUGA
Molecule: ribosomal RNA, 831 nt
Filed under: Triticum aestivum (bread wheat)
Lineage: Eukaryota; Viridiplantae; Streptophyta; Magnoliopsida; Poales; Poaceae
Description: partial small subunit ribosomal RNA
Source: RNAcentral